UUAAACUUGUGUACCUGAAUGGAUUUUUGAUUGACUCGGACUGCCUAGUGCAUGAACACCUAUAUGAUAAGGCUGCAGCCCAUAGUAUGCAGAAGAAGGGACUAAAUCUGGCACCUGACCAAUUACUCAGAGAUCACUUACAUGCUAUCCGCCUACCAGGUAGUACAGCCGUGUGGCCUACCUCUGACAGGAGCUGCGGUGGACUCUCUGGGCCUUCCCCAGCAGCUGUGCUCUGCAAAGGUGGCAAGCCAUCCAGCAUCUCCUGUAAUUACAGAAACUUCCCUGUUGUUUGGAAAAGUGAUCAGGAUGGCGUAACACGAAUCUGCAUAACAUGGCUUGAGUCCAGAUUGCCUCAGUAGGUUUCUUGUAUGGAUUGUUUCCCAAAUCUUCCUUCGUCGGUCAAAUUUAAGAAUAAAAAUAAACAAGCAGCAUUCA
RNAcentral lists this long non-coding RNA (435 nucleotides) under Dromaius novaehollandiae (emu). RNAcentral's name for it is "lncRNA (ENSDNVG00000004206.1)". The record is from RNAcentral. Lineage: Eukaryota; Metazoa; Chordata; Aves; Casuariiformes; Dromaiidae.